Molecule: ribosomal RNA, 1122 nt
Filed under: Segatella copri
Lineage: Bacteria; Pseudomonadati; Bacteroidota; Bacteroidia; Bacteroidales; Prevotellaceae
Description: partial 23S ribosomal RNA
Rfam family: Bacterial large subunit ribosomal RNA
Source: RNAcentral
GCAUAGCGGUAUCCUGAGUAACGCGGGACACGAGGAAUCCUGCGCGAAUCUGCCGGGACCAUCCGGUAAGGCUAAAUACUCCCGUGAGACCGAUAGCGAACGAGUACUGUGAAGGAAAGGUGAAAAGAACCCCGAGCAGGGGAGUGAAAUAGUUCCUGAAACCAUACGCCUACAAGCGGUCGGAGCAUCGCAAGAUGUGACGGCGUGCCUUUUGCAUAAUGAUCCUACGAGUUACCGUCACUGGCGAGGUUGAGUGUCAUGAGACACGUAGCCGCAGUGAAAGCGAGCCUGAAGAGGGCGCACAGUCAGUGGGGGUAGACGCGAAACCAAGUGAUCUACACUUGGCCAGGAUGAAGUCCCGGUAACACGGGAUGGAGGUCCGCACCAAUAAGCGUUGAAAAGCUUCUGGAUGAGCCGAGUGUAGGAGUGAAAGGCCAAUCAAACUUGGAGAUAGCUCGUACUCCCCGAAAGGCAUUUAGGUGCCGCGUCGGAUGGUCACCGUGAGAGGUAGAGCGACCGAUAGGACAAGAGGGCUUCACCGCCUAUCGAGUCCUGACGAACUCCGAAUGCUCACGGUCUGCAGUCCGGCAGUAAGGGGGCGGGUGCUAAGGUCCGUCCCCGAGAGGAGAAGAAUCCAGACCGCCGUCUAAGGUCCCGGAGUUCUGCCUGAGUUAGUCUAACGAAGUCUGGUCCCUAUGACAGCUAGGAUGUUGGCUUGGAAGCAGCCAUUCAUUCAAAGAGUGCGUAACAGCUCACUAGUCGAGGGUCCGGGCAUGGAUAAUAAUCGGGUAUAAGGCAGACACCGAAGGCGCGGGAUAGCAAUUAUAAAAGUAUCGGUAGGGGAGCAUACUCACAGCGUCGAAUGGUGUACGUAAGUUAUCCUGGAGCGGUGAGUAAAGCAAAUGUAGGAAUAAGUAACGAUAAGGAGGGUUAGAUUCCCUCCCGCUGUAAGACCAAGGUUUCCCGGGCAAUGCCAAUCAGCCCGGGGUCAGUCGGGUCCUAAGUCUAAGCCGAACGGCGAUGGCGAUGGCAGAGACGGUUAAUAUUCCGUCACUGCCGCAUGGGGCGACGUGGAGACGGAGCAGUGAAACCACCGCGGGGCGACGGAAGUCCCCGUUGAAG